This 497-nucleotide ribosomal RNA is filed under the name uncultured bacterium. RNAcentral's name for it is "partial 16S ribosomal RNA". It matches the Rfam family "Bacterial small subunit ribosomal RNA", at positions 28 to 507 of the family's 1533-position model. The record is from RNAcentral.
GAUGAACGCUGGCGGCGUGCCUAAUACAUGCAAGUCGAGCGAACAGACGAGGAGCUUGCUCCUCUGACGUUAGCGGCGGACGGGUGAGUAACACGUGGAUAACCUACCUAUAAGACUGGGAUAACUUCGGGAAACCGGAGCUAAUACCGGAUAACAUGUUGAACCGCAGGGUUCAACAGUGAAAGACGGUCUUGCUGUCACUUAUAGAUGGAUCCGCGCCUCAUUAGCUAGUUGGUAAGGUAACGGCUUACCAAGGCAACGAUGCGUAGCCGACCUGAGAGGGUGAUCGGCCACACUGGAACUGAGACACGGUCCAGACUCCUACGGGAGGCAGCAGUAGGGAAUCUUCCGCAAUGGGCGAAAGCCUGACGGAGCAACGCCGCGUGAGUGAAGAAGGUCUUCGGAUCGUAAAACUCUGUUAUUAGGGAAGAACAAAUGUGUAAGUAACUAUGCACGUCUUGACGGUACCUAAUCAGAAAGCCACGGCUAACUACGUG